UACAGAGGUCUCAAGCGUUGUUCGGAUUCAUUGGGCGUAAAGGGUGCGUAGGCGGCGCGGUAAGUCGGGUGUGAAACCUCCAGGCUCAACCUGGAGACGCCAUCCGAUACUGCUGUGGCUAGAGUCCGGUAGGGGAGCGUGGAAUUCCUGGUGUAGCGGUGAAAUGCGCAGAUAUCAGGAGGAAGACCAGUGGCGAAGGCGGGUCUCUGGACAGUUCCUGACACUGAGGAGCGAAAGCGUGGGGAGCGAACAGG
RNAcentral lists this ribosomal RNA (254 nucleotides) under uncultured bacterium. RNAcentral describes it as "partial 16S ribosomal RNA". It matches the Rfam family "Bacterial small subunit ribosomal RNA", at positions 524 to 776 of the family's 1533-position model. The record is from RNAcentral.